GCCCCCGUGGCCUAACGGGACAAGGCGCCGGCCUUCUAAGCCGCGAGUAUGCAGGUUCGAGUCCUGCCGGGGGCA
RNAcentral lists this transfer RNA (75 nucleotides) under Euzebyales bacterium. Its description in RNAcentral is "tRNA-Arg". It matches the Rfam family "tRNA". From Rfam's summary of the family: Transfer RNA (tRNA) molecules are approximately 80 nucleotides in length. Their secondary structure includes four short double-helical elements and three loops (D, anti-codon, and T loops). The record is from RNAcentral. Lineage: Bacteria; Bacillati; Actinomycetota; Nitriliruptoria; Euzebyales. RNAcentral also lists the same sequence under 2 other names.